AAGCGUGGACGCCAGUCUGCGUGGAGCCGACCUUGAAAUACCACCCUUUAAUGUUUGAUGUUCUAACGUGGAUCCGUAAUCCGGGUUGCGGACAGUGUCUGGUGGGUAGUUUGACUGGGGCGGUCUCCUCCUAAAGAGUAACGGAGGAGCACGAAGGUUGGCUAAUCCUGGUCGGACAUCAGGAGGUUAGUGCAAUGGCAUAAGCCAGCUUGACUGCGAGCGUGACGGCGCGAGCAGGUGCGAAAGCAGGUCAUAGUGAUCCGGUGGUUCUGAAUGGAAGGGCCAUCGCUCAACGGAUAAAAGGUACUCCGGGGAUAACAGGCUGAUACCGCCCAAGAGUUCAUAUCGACGGCGGUGUUUGGCACCUCGAUGUCGGCUCAUCACAUCCUGGGGCUGAAGUAGGUCCCAAGGGUAUGGCUGUUCGCCAUUUAAAGUGGUACGCGAGCUGGGUUUAGAACGUCGUGAGACAGUUCGGUCCCUAUCUGCCGUGGGCGCUGGAGAACUGAGGGGGGCUGCUCCUAGUACGAGAGGACCGGAGUGGACGCAUCACUGGUGUUCGGGUUGUCAUGCCAAUGGCACUGCCCGGUAGCUAAAUGCGGAAGAGAUAAGUGCUGAAAGCAUCUAAGCACGAAACUUGCCCCGAGAUGAGUUCUCCCUGAGACUUAGAGUCUCC
RNAcentral lists this ribosomal RNA (673 nucleotides) under Salmonella enterica. RNAcentral's name for it is "partial 23S ribosomal RNA". It matches the Rfam family "Bacterial large subunit ribosomal RNA", at positions 2160 to 2828 of the family's 2925-position model. Lineage: Bacteria; Pseudomonadati; Pseudomonadota; Gammaproteobacteria; Enterobacterales; Enterobacteriaceae. The record is from RNAcentral.